This 492-nucleotide ribosomal RNA is filed under the name uncultured bacterium. RNAcentral describes it as "partial 16S ribosomal RNA". It matches the Rfam family "Bacterial small subunit ribosomal RNA", at positions 29 to 507 of the family's 1533-position model. The record is from RNAcentral.
AGUGAACGCUGGCGGUAGGCCUAACACAUGCAAGUCGAACGGCAGCACAGUAAGAGCUUGCUCUUACGGGUGGCGAGUGGCGGACGGGUGAGGAAUACAUCGGAAUCUACUUUUUCGUGGGGGAUAACGUAGGGAAACUUACGCUAAUACCGCAUACGACCUACGGGUGAAAGCAGGGGAUCUUCGGACCUUGCGCGAUUGAAUGAGCCGAUGUCGGAUUAGCUAGUUGGCGGGGUAAAGGCCCACCAAGGCGACGAUCCGUAGCUGGUCUGAGAGGAUGACCAGCCAAACUGGAACUGAGACACGGUCCAGACUCCUACGGGAGGCAGCAGUGGGGAAUAUUGGACAAUGGGCGCAAGCCUGAUCCAGCCAUACCGCGUGGGUGAAGAAGGCCUUCGGGUUGUAAAGCCCUUUUGUUGGGAAAGAAAAGCAGCAGGUUAAUACCCCGCUGUUCUGACGGUACCCAAAGAAUAAGCACCGGCUAACUUCGUG